This 1398-nucleotide long non-coding RNA is filed under the name Hordeum vulgare. Its description in RNAcentral is "long non-coding RNA (HVUL_LNC002505)". Lineage: Eukaryota; Viridiplantae; Streptophyta; Magnoliopsida; Poales; Poaceae. The record is from RNAcentral.
AAUUUACUAUUGGAUUUGCAAUUAGUUCGGUUGAUCAGAUCCGGUGGACGGCGGUAGCAACGUGUAGAUGGACAUGCACAUCUUUGGCCCAAGCAUAUCGCUGGCUCGUCCGACCUGAGCUACUGAGCUCGACACUUGUUCAGGUGCGCCACGACCGAGGCUCCUUCAGUUCUCUACCAGUUUAUCAGUAGAGGCUUAGAUACUAAAGGUGCAUCUAAGCAGCCAAACCAAUUUUGAUCCUGGCCUGGCAUCAGCACCAAGCACAGCGGCAUAGGUUGGUUGAUUGGAGGCCCAGUGGUUGUUAAUUAGGACUCACAAUCUUAUUGUGAAAUAGCAAUAUCUUACAUGUUAGAGCAACUGUUAACUAGAGCCUAACGAAUCAAAGUAUUACUAAAAGAAAACCAGCGAGCCUCUCCCCGAUACAUACAGAGUAUUCUCUGGGACGACAGGAGUAGUUUGUAUUAUUGAUUGGUACUGAUUUAUUUGUAGAUGAUGACAGCCCCUUGUCCUUGUUUUUUUGCUUUUCAACCUGUGUGNNNNNNNNNNCAACUAGAGCCUAACGAAUCAAAAUACACACUGUAUUUUCUUUAAAAGAAAACCAGCGAGCCUCUCCCCAAUACAUACAGAGUAUUCUCUGGGAUGACAAGAGUAGUUUGUAGUAUUGAUUGGUACUGGUUUAUUUGUUGAUGAUGACAGCCCCUUGUCCUUGUUUUUUUGCUUUUCAACCUGUGUGACAAGAAGUGCUGCUAAUAGCCCGAUUAUUACUACUGCAGAAUACAACUACUUUUGGCCUUUGUGCGGCUGCCUACUGUCGAUUCAAGUAUACUAUGAUCAACUUGAGUCUAGGCGCUAGUCCCCACUGCUGUCUUUUUAACACUCGCUUACCACGCUCGUUCACAUGGCAUGUCCUUGUGCGCUUGUGCCGGCCAGCGCCUUGUAACUGAUGACAGCUACCCCGGUGUGCACUGUUAAUAGCUAAUUACUUAGAUAACAGUGAGCAUCCAAUGUACUACUUGAUCAGAUCCGUUUGAGGGCUAAACACUCACUAAGCUCACUCUCUCUUUCGCACUGUCGCUAUCCGCCGCUUCAUCUCUUCUCACCACCGGCGCUCCCACUCCCGACCCUGGUGCUCCACCUCGCGGUUAGCAGCACAGCUCUCGUCGCCUCCUCACCUGCCUGCAGUGCAGUCACCUUGCACUCUCUCCUGUCACCACGGCGACGGUGGCUCCCGGAUCUGGACCAGCCGCACCACCGCUGCACAUCACCAGCAGGUACCAAAGUUAGAACCCCCCCUGCCUCUCUCUCCCUUUCUCUCUCAAAGUCUCAAUGACUCAACACAACCCCUUUUUGUAGCUAGCUGGGACUAGGCAGACGGCAGCGGCUUCCAUCACCGGCAGA